This 857-nucleotide ribosomal RNA is filed under the name uncultured Verrucomicrobiota bacterium. Its description in RNAcentral is "bacterial SSU rRNA". It matches the Rfam family "Bacterial small subunit ribosomal RNA", at positions 58 to 889 of the family's 1533-position model. The record is from RNAcentral. Lineage: Bacteria; Pseudomonadati; Verrucomicrobiota.
CAAGUCGAGCGAGGUUACUUUUGGUAGCAAUACUAGAAGUAACUUAGCGGCGUAACGGGUGCGUAACACGUGGACAAUCUGCCAUAAAGUGGGGGAUAGCUCGGCGAAAGCCGAAUUAAUACCGCAUGUGAUCAGAGGGGACAUCCCUUCGAAAUCAAAGCCGGGGCAACCUGGCGCUUUUUGUGGAGUCCGCGGCCUAUCAGCUUGUUGGUGAGGUAACGGCUCACCAAGGCUUUGACGGGUAGCUGGUCUGAGAGGACGACCAGCCACACUGGAACUGAGACACGGUCCAGACACCUACGGGUGGCAGCAGUCGAGAAUUUUUCUCAAUGGGGGAAACCCUGAAGGAGCGACGCCGCGUGGAGGAUGAAGGUCUUCGGGUUGUAAACUCCUGUCAUUUGGGAACAAGUCGUACGUAGUAACUAUACGUGCGUUGAUAGUACCAGAAGAGGAAGAGACGGCUAACUCUGUGCCAGCAGCCGCGGUAAUACAGAGGUCUCAAGCGUUGUUCGGAUUCAUUGGGCGUAAAGGGUGCGUAGGUGGCGUCGUAAGUCGGGUGUGAAAUUUCGGAGCUUAACUCCGAAACUGCAUUCGAUACUGCGGUGCUUGAGGACUGGAGAGGAGACUGGAAUUUACGGUGUAGCAGUGAAAUGCGUAGAGAUCGUAAGGAAGACCAGUGGCGAAGGCGGGUCUCUGGACAGUUCCUGACACUGAGGCACGAAGGCCAGGGGAGCAAACGGGAUUAGAUACCCCGGUAGUCCUGGCAGUAAACGGUGCACGUUUGGUGUGGGGGGGAUUCGACCCCUUCUGCGCCGGAGCUAACGCGUUAAACGUGCCGCCUGGGGGAGUACGGUCGC